RNAcentral lists this ribosomal RNA (478 nucleotides) under uncultured bacterium. RNAcentral describes it as "bacterial SSU rRNA". It matches the Rfam family "Bacterial small subunit ribosomal RNA", at positions 43 to 524 of the family's 1533-position model. The record is from RNAcentral.
CAGACAUAACACAUGCAAGUCGUACGGUCAGUAGCUAUAGUGAUAGUGGCGCACGGGUGCGUCACACGUUACUAAUCUACCUACAACUGGGGGAUAGCCACCCGAAAGACAGGAUUAAUACCGCAUGACACUUAGUUUCGGCAUCGGGAUAUAGUUCAAGAUUUAUUGUUUGUAGAUGAGUUUGCGGGUCAUUAGGUAGUUGGUAAGGUAACGGAUUUCCAAGGACGCACGAUGAGUAGGGUAGCUGAGAGGCUGGUCCCCCACACGGGCACUGAGAUACGGGCCCGACUCUUACGGGAGGCAGCAGUAGGGGAUACUGGGCUAUGUGCGAGAGCAUGACCCAGCCAUGCCGCGCGCAGUAAGAAGGCUAUCCCACUCUUUCACUGAUUUUCACAGGGAAGAAUCACCUGUACGUGUUUAGUCAUGACGGUACAUGCUGCAUGAUCCCGGUCGACUUGCAGCCAGCAGCCGCGGUAAU